AGCAGUCGCCGGGUAAAACAGAGGGUGCAAGCGUUAAUCGGAAUUACUGGGCGUAAAGCGCGCGUAGGUGGUUUGUUAAGUUGGAUGUGAAAUCCCCGGGCUCAACCUGGGAACUGCAUCCAAAACUGGCAAGCUAGAGUAUGGUAGAGGGUGGUGGAAUUUCCUGUGUAGCGGUGAAAUGCGUAGAUAUAGGAAGGAACACCAGUGGCGAAGGCGACCACCUGGACUGAUACUGACACUGAGGUGCGAAAGCGUGGGGAGCAAACAGGAUUAGAUACCCGUGUAGUCCCUGUCUCUUAUACA
This 303-nucleotide ribosomal RNA is filed under the name uncultured bacterium. Its description in RNAcentral is "partial 16S ribosomal RNA". It matches the Rfam family "Bacterial small subunit ribosomal RNA", at positions 510 to 808 of the family's 1533-position model. The record is from RNAcentral.